GGUUAAGCGACUAAGCGUACACGGUGGAUGCCCUGGCAGUCAGAGGCGAUGAAGGACGUGCUAAUCUGCGAUAAGCGUCGGUAAGGUGAUAUGAACCGUUAUAACCGGCGAUUUCCGAAUGGGGAAACCCAGUGUGAUUCGUCACACUAUCAUUAACUGAAUCCAUAGGUUAAUGAGGCGAACCGGGGGAACUGAAACAUCUAAGUACCCCGAGGAAAAGAAAUCAACCGAGAUUCCCCCAGUAGCGGCGAGCGAACGGGGAGCAGCCCAGAGCCUGAAUCAGUGUGUGUGUUAGUGGAAGCGUCUGGAAAGGCGCGCGAUACAGGGUGACAGCCCCGUACACAAAAAUGCACAUGCUGUGAGCUCGAUGAGUAGGGCGGGACACGUGGUAUCCUGUCUGAAUAUGGGGGGACCAUCCUCCAAGGCUAAAUACUCCUGACUGACCGAUAGUGAACCAGUACCGUGAGGGAAAGGCGAAAAGAACCCCGGCGAGGGGAGUGAAAAAGAACCUGAAACCGUGUACGUACAAGCAGUGGGAGCACGCUUAGGCGUGUGACUGCGUACCUUUUGUAUAAUGGGUCAGCGACUUAUAUUCUGUAGCAAGGUUAACCGAAUAGGGGAGCCGAAGGGAAACCGAGUCUUAACUGGGCGUUAAGUUGCAGGGUAUAGACCCGAAACCCGGUGAUCUAGCCAUGGGCAGGUUGAAGGUUGGGUAACACUAACUGGAGGACCGAACCGACUAAUGUUGAAAAAUUAGCGGAUGACUUGUGGCUGGGGGUGAAAGGCCAAUCAAACCGGGAGAUAGCUGGUUCUCCCCGAAAGCUAUUUAGGUAGCGCCUCGUGAACUCAUCUCCGGGGGUAGAGCACUGUUUCGGCAAGGGGGUCAUCCCGACUUACCAACCCGAUGCAAACUGCGAAUACCGGAGAAUGUUAUCACGGGAGACACACGGCGGGUGCUAACGUCCGUCGUGAAGAGGGAAACAACCCAGACCGCCAGCUAAGGUCCCAAAGUCAUGGUUAAGUGGGAAACGAUGUGGGAAGGCCCAGACAGCCAGGAUGUUGGCUUAGAAGCAGCCAUCAUUUAAAGAAAGCGUAAUAGCUCACUGGUCGAGUCGGCCUGCGCGGAAGAUGUAACGGGGCUAAACCAUGCACCGAAGCUGCGGCAGCGACGCU
RNAcentral lists this ribosomal RNA (1173 nucleotides) under Escherichia coli. RNAcentral's name for it is "partial 23S ribosomal RNA". It matches the Rfam family "Bacterial large subunit ribosomal RNA", at positions 1 to 1215 of the family's 2925-position model. Lineage: Bacteria; Pseudomonadati; Pseudomonadota; Gammaproteobacteria; Enterobacterales; Enterobacteriaceae. The record is from RNAcentral.